This 7569-nucleotide unclassified non-coding RNA is filed under the name Leishmania donovani. RNAcentral's name for it is "gene:LdHU3.15.0860(CDS-product:hypothetical_prote in_conserved)". Lineage: Eukaryota; Euglenozoa; Kinetoplastea; Trypanosomatida; Trypanosomatidae. The record is from RNAcentral.
UAGCAAGUUUAUUGAGUGUCACUCGUGCCACACGACCCCCCCCACUCAUCCACCUCCAGCCCCCUUUCCUUUUCGCUAGUCUGCUACCCCGAUCGCCUUUUCGUAGUUCACCGGUGCACUCACCUCUCCCCAGCCCCCUUCCCCUCUCUUAGCUCUUCCAGUCACAUCACCACGCGAAGCAGUCCUGCAGGCUUUCCUGUUGUCUCCUUGCUUCGCCGCCUCUCCGCUUUUCUCGCAUUCCCCUUCCAGGCCGCCGUCACGCACAUAGAAAGAUUUGGCCUUGGCCACCUCAACUCCUCCAUCUCCUUUACUCCACCCGACCUGCACUUGCCUCCUCCUCCUCUCUACCCUGCCAUACACGGGGCGGUACGUGUGGGACGCACAACCCCACCCUUUCCUUCUCGCGGGCGCCCCCCCCUCUCUCUCCCUCCCUCCCCCUACUUCUGUUUUACUCAUAUAUCACGGCAUUCCCGUCUGGCGGGCCCACAGACACAGACAGACACAGGCACAAGAGCGGGCACGGAAAAAAAAAACAUAAACGAGGCCUUGUGCCUCAGUGAACUGUUCGCCAGGUUCAUCAUCAAAGGACCUAGUGUCGCAGCCGCAGUGGUAGUAGUGGGACCAUCACCAGCAAGCCCUGAAACCUCCACUUUCCGUUAAUCUAUCUUCUCUUUUACACUGCACCCCGCCGCCCCGCACCGCUCCUUCAACACGUCCGUUUCGCACACGUCCACAAGCGAUACGUACAACAUCAAGAGAGGGGGGGGCACAGAGAGACUGUGGUCGCUGGCGAAGAAACACGUCAACCAUCUUCUUCAGACCCUCUUCACCAUCCCCAUUCCUUCACCUUCCUACCACUCCCCUCUCUCAGGCUCUCAUUGCUCAUUUUCUGUUUUCCACCCUGCUGGCGUGCCACCCUCUCUCUGUCUUCACCGCUCCACCUUUCUUGUGUCUAUUUUACUCUGUCGCUAAAAGUGCCCCUCCCCCUUCCACCCCAAAACUCUCUCAUCAUCGCUUCUCUCUUGCCCUUUGUCUGUCUGUGUCUGCCGGUGUUGCGCUCUUCUCUGUGCCCGCGUCUUCCCCUCCCCCUGUUUUCUGUGUCUUGUUUCCCUUCGCCUCUCUCUUUCCCUCGUUGACACUCAACGCGGGGUGCGUGGGACUCCCUUUUGUGGGCUCUUGUGUGUGGCUUUAUAUGAACGCGCAUACACGCAUCAAGAGUACAAAAAACAUCACUCAAGGCCCUUCACAGGUGCGCCAGUCCCCCUCCCCCUCCCCUCUCUCCCUCUCUUCCAUAUUUUCACAGCUCCUCCCUCUCUUGUCUUUUUUUUUCGUUGCGAGUCAUCUGUGUUGGGGCGUCAUAUUGCAUCUCCGCGUGCGUUUUCUCUUUGGUCUUCCUCUCCCCCCUCACCUUUUUUUGUCGUCCUUGAGCGUACGUCUCGCCAAACAGACACUCAUCCCUCCCCCUUCCUCCCUCCCUCAUCUCUGGCACUCUCCCACCCCACCCCUACCACGCCACACGCACACUCACGCGAAACAGCAAGAGGAGCGCCACAUAGCCGCCUCACCACCCACGGGCCAAGAUCGAUCGAAAUUUUUAUUCUCGGGAGGGUGUGCAGGAGAUACUUAUAAAUAUAUAUAUAUACUAUAUAUAUAUAUAUAUUUAUUUAUUUAUUUUUCACCCCCCCCGCCUCCCCACCCACCGACCCGCGCCACAAAACAAAAAGGCAAAGCACACACACACACACACAUAUAUAUAGCAUAUAUAUAUAUAUACCAUAUAUAUAUAUAUACCAUAUAUAUAUAUAUAUAUUAAUAACAAAGACUCUCUUUGCCCCUCCUCCCUCCACCCCCCCCUCCCUUCCACAUCUUCGCUUUGUUUUUUUUUUCCUGCCAUUCACAUUAUUAUUAUUUUGUUUGCAUUUUUUUUGUUUGUGUGUGUGUGUGUGUGUGUGUGUCACAGGCAGACAUACGCACGCAAACACGCACACACCAGCCCCCACGCGCCGCACGCUCUCCCUCUCUCGUCUUCUUUUGCCUUUUUUCUGUCGUUGUUUGUUUCCUUCGUGGCGUCGUUGAACUAUUUCUGUGCGUGCGUGUGCAACUCCCUUUAGCCGCUUCUCUCUUUGUCUUUCCUUUGCAUUCCCACUGGCCCAUCUUACGCCUCUGCUCCGUCUCUCCCUCUCAUCUUCUUCUUCUCUCUCUCUGUGUGUGUGUGCUUCUGUGUGUAGUUUGCCUCCUACCCUGACCCUUUCCGUCUUUUUUAGCUGUUGUCCGGCCAAAUCUUUCCACUCCUCUUCCUCUUCCCCUGACCGAUCUACCCUAUCAGCAUCCCUUCCUCUCUCCCUUUUUGUUCCUCUUCUUAUCAUCUCCCUCCUUCCCUGCCUGUCUGUCUGUCCUUCGUAACGAAGGCAGUAAAGACGCGGACACAUACAACAAGCUCCAUAUACACACAGGCACACAGGCAGAGAGAGAGAGAGCACGGGCACCGCUGUACUUAUUUUGUACGUCCAUCUGUUGUCAUCUUUGUUUUCCUCAUCUCUUUUUGUUCUCUGUCUCUAUCACUGUGUCUGUGUGUGUGUGUGUGUGUGUGCGUGUGUGUUGGAGGUUUUCUGGCUUGCGCCAGUCUUCCAUCAUCAUACACUCAGCGACACCCGCUCGCACCAGUACCCACCCUCUUCCCAUCGCCUUUCUUUGCUCUGGGUGUCGUUCCCUGUGAGUGUGUGUGUCUCCUAUUUAUCUUCUCCUCUCGCGUACUCUCUCCUCGUUGCCUCUUUCCUCUAUCUUGUAUUGCGUGUGUGUGUGUGUGUGUGUGUGUGUCUGAGUGGCGGAUUGGUGAACUCUGUCCUUUCCCUCUUCUUUCUUUGCUCGUUCCUUCGCCUUGAGAAACACUACUUCCCCCCCCCUCCUCCUCCUCUACCCUCUCCUCCCCCUCCCUUUCGCUGCGCAUUUGUGGCCGGCCACGUCCACCCCUGCGUUCCACAGCAAGAUCCGGCAAGAGCACGAUACCAGAGGCAGCUCGCUUUCUCUUCCCCUCUCUCCCGCGUAUAGGUGUGUGUGUGUGUUUGGUCGCUUAACCUCUUUGAAUUAGUGUUCUUUCUUUAUUGGCGUUGUGCUUGCAGUGGUGGUGGUGGUGGUGGUGUACUCGUGUGUCUGUGAUCCUCCUAUUAACACUUUCUUGUGCUAUAUAUUUCCUCCGUCACACAUAUUCGCGACGUACAGGCGCAUACACAGAGCACGCACACAUUUCUCUGGACUAUCAAUAUAUAUAUAUAUACACUCACAACCGAAGCGAGUGCAGCCUUGUCCAUUUCUUUCGCUUCCACCUCCCUCUCCGUUUUUUUUGUUGUUUUUUCCGGCGAUGUCCGCCAGCUCCGUCCCGCGUGAGGACUCGCAAGAGCCGCAGCGUGUCAGUGUGUCGCCACUAGCAACCCCCAAUAUGUCUCCUGCUGCCACGCAGCCACCGCAGCAGCAACCCGUGAAAGCGGCUGCGAUGAUGACCUCGCCAAUUAUGAACAGCGGUACAACGCCGCGGUUGCUCUUCACGUGGGACCCGUACCGCAACGUGUCUUCCUCGCCCGGCAACACAAGCGCAGUCACUGGCGGGGCUGUUGCUAAGCCGCCGGAGGAGGAGGUGGUAGAAGAAGGACGCCUGGCGUCCAGCAUCGACGGCUGCUCUACAACGUCGUCAGUGAACAACACCAACACUGGCGCCGAAACCUCUGCCGGGGUGAACAGUGCGACUCGUGGCACCAGCAACUCUGUGGCCCCGUCUUCUGUCGCCACCCCCGGCGGUGCACGGCCCCCGCUGACCAUUUCGGCAUUGCUCGGCGGAGCGGGCUACCCCAACCGAGGCUCGCCGCAGCUCUCGGCGACGACGGUGCCGCUGUCUCAGCAACAGCAGAUGCUGCACCAGAGUCCGAACAGCGACGCCUGUGUUGCGCCAGGUUCUUCCCACUCCACUCCGUCUGGUCCGGUGCUGAAGCGCAUCUCCACCUCCGCGAAGGACGGCCGGCAGUACUUCCUGGAUUACUCACCGAGCCCUGCCUCCAACAGUGGCGCCCCUGCUGCUCUUGCCGCUGGUGGCAUGCCCAACUUGAUGCUGCCACCAAACAUGUCACCCAUGACUACCGUAACGUCACCACCUGCGCCAGCGCUGUCGCAGCAGCGGCACCAGCCUCCUGGCGGGAUGGAGUUACUCGACUCGGACGGGAACAGCAGCACCAACAUCAGCCCGCAAGCGGUGCCACUCAUGUCGCCCCCGCGCAGCAGCAGCAGCAACGCAGGCGCUUACCCGAGCUACGGCGCUGUUGCCGCCGCGAAUAGUCACAGCAUCCUCUCAGCUACUCCACUGCCGCCAAUGAGCGGCAUGGCGCAACACAACCCCUACCGCACCCCGUCCAUCUUCUAUGCGACAGCGCACAGCACGUCGCCGGCCACGCAGCAGCAGCAGCAGCAGCAGCAGCAGCAGCACGUGUUGCACCACCAGGACAUCGAUGACAAUGACGCCGAUCUCGUUUACGCCCUCGAGUCGGACCCGUCUGCCUUUAUAGUACGCCUGCUUCCGCCACCGCCGCCGCUGCCCGAGCUGGCGCGCGUGCUCACCGUGCCUGGAGUGGUGCAGUCAUUAUGUGCGCGGUGGUGCACGUACGUUGCUGCGGUACUCAAGUCCGAUGCCUUCGCGGCCAUCACGGCCGCCCCACCACCGCCGCCAUCGUCUGUAACGAUGAGCCGGGAAGGGAGCAACGGCAGCACCAAGGAGGAGCUCGCCGCGUGGUACGAGACGGCGGUGGACUGGUGGGAAAAGCUUGACCAGGAGGGCACCGGGGCUGUAGACGUGCGAGCCAAGUCGCGGACGGUCGCAGCGGCAGUCGAGGUGGUUGCCAGCGGUCGGUCACGUAGGCAGCCGUCGCAAAACACAAGCGGCAGCGCUAACGGGGGACGCUACAACCCACAAGGUGGCUUAGGCGCGAGCGGGUACCGUGGCCGCGGCGGGCGCGGCUAUCACGCCGGCAUGGGCACCUACGGAUACGCCGCCAGCACCACUGGUCAUCGCGGCGGUGCCCAUCCUCGUGGCGGCGCUGCUGCAGCUGCAGCUGCUGUUGGAGGCAUGGCGACGGGCGCUCACAACACAGGCGCCGCCGCGACCGGCUACCGUGGCGGACGGGGCAGUGGUGGUGGUUCGGGCUACAGCUACGACGCCGCCAUGUCGGGAGGUGAUAAUCAGCACGACAUUCCCGACGAGGUGGACCCGGCCAUGCACUGCAACACCGCUUACUACCCGUCCUCGAACUUCAACCCGUACGCGGAGAGUUGGCACUUCAGCGGCACCACUGGCAUGGCGACGGGCGCGCAGCAGCAGCAGCAGCCACAGCAGAUGCAGUCCUCGUACACGAAGGGCGCACGGCCUUCACAGCAACUACAGCAGCAGCAGCGCGGUUAUGGCGCUAUGAACAUGUAACCGAAAUGAAUGUCGAGGCAGAAAAAAAGGAUUUGUCCAAGCGCGGUCGUGAUCAUGCACGCACAUACACACACACACACACACACAGAGACGCGUACAUCUUCAUGCGUGUGCAGAAAGAGUGAGAGGGCGAAAGCUUCUGUGUAUGGAUGUAUAUGCGUAGGCGUAUGAUCAUCUCUCUUUUUUUUUUUUCGGAGGGAUCGUGAUAUCUUGUCUUCGGUUCUCUGGCUCUCGUCUAAUGUCUUUUUACUGCUUUCGUCGUACGCCUUGGUGGUCCCUCUCCCUCUCUUUUCCUUGCUGUUGAAAUGUGUGUGCGCCGGCACGCUUCCCUCCCCGCCUCCUUCCUCGUCCUCUCCACAAAGAAAGGAUCCUCUUUCAGCUAUCUUGUCUGCUCUUUCUCUCUUUUACUUGCUCACGCGCCCCCUAAGAAAGUGUGUCGCAUGUGCGCACACAUGCAAAUGUGUGUAUGCGUGUGUGAGUGUGUGUAUGUGUGUGCGUGCACGUGUUGUUCGAUCACAAUCCUGUGUGACACUUGAGAGAGGAGGAGGCGCGCGUCCAUCGGCGAGGUCACCACUACGGUCAGGAGCACGCACAUGCAUGUUGUUGUUGUUUUGGCGUUUGUUUGGUCUGUUCGUGUCCCACUCUCUCUCUCUCCUUUCUUCAUGCGCUUCGCUUCACUUCUUUUUUUCCGCUUGGUCUCUUCGCGAGUCUGUAUUCUCUCUGUUCACAUGUCGCACUCUCUUCCUCUGUUCCCCGUGUGUGUGUGUGUAUGUAUGUAUGUGUGUUUCUCUCUCGGUGAGCCAGAUGCGCAAGAAUCGAAAAGAGAGCUGUGGUGACGGCGAAGGAUCGGUGUUCGGUCAGCACACCCACACACACGGGGUACACCUAAUGUGGAGUAUGCGCGCGUGACCCCCUUUUACGCUUCCCCCUCUCCCUCUCCCGCGCGCCCUCCAUGGCAUUUACAGUAGAAUCAUCAAAGAUGGAGAAGGAUCGGGGGCGGAGAGGGUGUCGAAGCGGCGACAGUGAACGCAGCGUGUCUUGGCGGACGCUUCUCUCCCUUUUUAAGUGUCCGCACCCCCCCCUCCCUGUUUCUCGCGUUUCUUUAUCUUUUUUUUUGGGAGGCUGUUUUCCCCCUUAUGUAUGUGCGUGUUUGCGUGUGUGUGUGUGUGUGUGUGUGUUCCUUCCUUCUGUUUUGUGUUUCCUUCUUCUUUUCGAUUCCUGCUUUCAUCUUGUAGUGGUUUGAUGGUCCUCUCCCUUGCGCGCUCGGUCUCUCUCUUUCCUUCGUUGAGGUGGUGGUGUUGUUCCUCGGUCUCUGCCCUCCCUGCUGCCUGCGUUCAUCUUUCUCCGUCUGUUUUUUGUGUUCGUUCUAUUAUCUCACUCUCUUCUCUGUCGCUUCGCCCACCCCUCUUCCCUUCUUCGUCUUGUGAGCCUUCUUCUCUCACUUUCUCACUCUUUCUCCCUGAUGUUUUGUGUCUUGCCCUGUUGCCGUUGAAGUAGAUCCUGUGUGUGUGUCACCCUCCUCCUCCCCUCCACCUCGUGUUUAUGCUGUGCGUGUGUGCUGUGCAUGCUUCACCCUUGUCGUCGUUGCUCUUCGCUGUCCUCUGUUUCGCCUUCCCAGCCUCCCACGCCCUCUCCCCACUCCCCUCUCCUCGUUUUGUUGUUGGCGCUAGUCGGAGCAGUGAAUUUUUUUCCUCUCUGGAAGUCAACGGACCACCGUCAGCCGAGACACACAAGCACACACACACACACACACAGAGACAGACAGACAGAUGCGCGCUCGUGAAGGCAACAAACAACCAAAGUACGAAGAGCACCACGCUACGAAAAGAAACAGAGCCGCAUCUCCACCGAACCCCAGGUGCAUGCGAUACCAUGAAAGCGAAAAGAAAAAAUUUUCUUUCUGUGCUGUACUGUUACUUUCUCUUCUGUCUUCAAAGGCCGCAGGACUCGCUCUCUCCCACCCACCCACCCCACCCAACCCCCACGCUAUUUCUCUCUGAGUGUGUGUGCGCCCUGCCCACCACGCGCCGCCCUGCAUCGCGACGUAGGGGAGGUGCCUCUCACCUGCCACUUUUAGUGCGCUCACUACCCCCGGAAGGGGGACAAAGUAC